Molecule: small RNA, 38 nt
Filed under: Romboutsia ilealis
Lineage: Bacteria; Bacillati; Bacillota; Clostridia; Peptostreptococcales; Peptostreptococcaceae
Description: CRISPR spacer
Source: RNAcentral
GGUAAUAGAACAUAACAAAGUAAUAGACAAGGUUUCAG